Molecule: ribosomal RNA, 497 nt
Filed under: uncultured bacterium
Lineage: Bacteria
Description: partial 16S ribosomal RNA
Rfam family: Bacterial small subunit ribosomal RNA
Source: RNAcentral
GAUGAACGCUGGCGGCGUGCCUAAUACAUGCAAGUCGAGCGAACAGAUAAGGAGCUUGCUCCUUUGACGUUAGCGGCGGACGGGCGAGUAACACGUGGGUAACCUACCUAUAAGACUGGAAUAACUCCGGGAAACCGGGGCUAAUGCCGGAUAACAUUUAGAACCGCAUGGUUCUAAAGUGAAAGAUGGUUUUGCUAUCACUUAUAGAUGGACCCGCGCCGUAUUAGCUAGUUGGUAAGGUAACGGCUUACCAAGGCAACGAUACGUAGCCGACCUGAGAGGGUGAUCGGCCACACUGGAACUGAGACACGGUCCAGACUCCUACGGGAGGCAGCAGUAGGGAAUCUUCCGCAAUGGGCGAAAGCCUGACGGAGCAACGCCGCGUGAGUGAUGAAGGUCUUCGGAUCGUAAAACUCUGUUAUUAGGGAAGAACAAAUGUGUAAGUAACUGUGCACGUCUUGACGGUACCUAAUCAGAAAGCCACGGCUAACUACGUG